AUUUAUAUAAUAUAAAAAAUUAUUUUUAACUUCCAAUUAAAAUAUCUAGUUUCUAGUAUAAAUA
RNAcentral lists this transfer RNA (64 nucleotides) under Luciola sp. FM20. RNAcentral's name for it is "tRNA-Gly". Lineage: Eukaryota; Metazoa; Arthropoda; Insecta; Coleoptera; Lampyridae. The record is from RNAcentral.